CUACGGGUCGCUGCAGUGAGGAAUAUUGCACAAUGGGGGGAACCCUGAUGCAGCAACGCCGCGUGGAGGAUGACGCAUUUCGGUGUGUAAACUCCUUUUAUAUGUCAAGAAAAUGACAGUAGCGUAUGAAUAAGCACCGGCUAACUCCGUGCCAGCAGCCGCGGUAAUACGGAGGGUGCAAGCGUUACUCGGAAUCACUGGGCGUAAAGGACGCGUAGGCGGGUUGGAAAGUCAGGUGUGAAAUCCUACAGCUUAACUGUAGAACUGCACUUGAAGCUUCUAAUCUAGAGUAUGGGAGGGGGAGAUGGAAUUAGUGGUGUAGGGGUAAAAUCCGUAGAUAUCACUAGGAAUACCUAAAGCGAAGGCGAUCUCCUGGAACAUUACUGACGCUAAGGCGUGAAAGCGUGGGGAGCAAACAGGAUUAGAUACCCCUGUAGUC
This 439-nucleotide ribosomal RNA is filed under the name uncultured bacterium. RNAcentral describes it as "partial 16S ribosomal RNA". It matches the Rfam family "Bacterial small subunit ribosomal RNA", at positions 339 to 795 of the family's 1533-position model. The record is from RNAcentral.